Molecule: long non-coding RNA, 665 nt
Organism: Alosa alosa (allis shad)
Lineage: Eukaryota; Metazoa; Chordata; Actinopteri; Clupeiformes; Clupeidae
Exons: 3
Source: RefSeq, a predicted model, not a curated record
UUGGCACGGGCACUGGCGGCCAAGGCCACGCAACCAGACUCACAGCGGCUCUCUCAUCUGUUCCGCCUGCGUCCUCAUCAACACAAAACAGGUGGCACCAGCAAGCCAGCUGUUGUGUAAAAUGAUUGUCAAGACCUGACUUGCAACUGAAAAACAAACAUUAUCGAUAGUCUGUGCACCCGAAGGGAGACUGAUGAGGAUUGGCAGUACAUUACAGAUGGUUGAAUCAACAUGAGCACAACCUUGCGAGAAGUGGCCACGGUGGGAGAAGAUGCCACCCUGGACGCAGCCUGACAGCAGAACACUCCAGGCACACAAAACAAGAUGGCUCUUCAGAGACCGCAUGGAGCCUCCCGUCUGAUUACAGCCACUGACCUAGAUGUCUGGGAAAGGCAAACAAUCAGGUGUUGACUUCUUUAAAAAAACAAAAACAAAGAAAGACAGAAUGCAAGUGGGGAGCGAGGAGAGGCAGCUUCAGGUCCUCAUGGUUGGCACGGUAACUGCUAUUGGAUUGGACAUGCUAAUUUCCAUUCCAAAUCAGUGUAGACGUACUCCCAACACACAGACACAACCCAGGUGAUACAAAUCAGCCAUUAUAACAAAGUACAAAGAUGAUGAAUUGUGUGAAUUUGCACUCUCUUAAUGAUGGGGACUGCAUGUUUAAG